UAACGGGGCUAAAACUAGUCACCGAAGCUGCGGAUGUGCGCGAAGGCGCACGUGGUAGGGGAGCGUUCUGUAGGCUGAUGAAGGUGCAUUGAGAGGUGUGCUGGAGGUAUCAGAAGUGCGAAUGCUGACAUGAGUAACGAUAAUGUGGGUGAAAAGCCCACACGCCGGAAGUCCCAGGUUUCCUGCACGACGUUAAUCGGAGCAGGGUGAGUCGGCCCCUAAGGCGAGGCUGAAGAGCGUAGUCGAUGGGAACCAGGUUAAUAUUCCUGGACUUUUUAUAAGUGGUGAAGUGGGGACGAAGAAGGCUAGGUGAGCCAGGCGUUGGUUGUCCUGGUACUUGCAUGUAGGGGGGAAGACUUGGCAAAUCCGGUUUUCCGAUACUCUGAGGUGCGAAGUGGUUCUGACCUUUUGGUACAGAGAAGUCAUUGAUGCCCGGCUUCCAGGAAAAGCUGCUAGCCAU
Molecule: ribosomal RNA, 460 nt
Filed under: Legionella pneumophila
Lineage: Bacteria; Pseudomonadati; Pseudomonadota; Gammaproteobacteria; Legionellales; Legionellaceae
Description: partial 23S ribosomal RNA
Rfam family: Bacterial large subunit ribosomal RNA
Source: RNAcentral